UAAAAAAUUAUAUUCUGAGUCUGGGGAUAUAAUAGAAUUUUUAUGUAGAUGGGGUCAUCAUCCAGCUCCGUCUUCCCCUCCAUUCAGAGCACAAUGUAUAGAUGGCACAUAUGAAUACCCACGAUGCAUAUGAUGUUAACUGUAAUGUGAAAAGGACGCAAGAGAUGAAUGGUACAGAGGUUAUUUUUAUGCAAAAAACAAAUUUUUUGCUCAAAAUACAAAGAUUUUGCACAAAAUAUUAUUGCUGUGUAAUGACUAACUGGGGAAAUUUUCAUAAAAGUAGUCCCAAUCUGAUGGGAGAAAGCCAUCAUAUCUAAAAAGUGCAGAUUCAAGGAAUUGGGAGAAGCCUACAACAGAGAUUUUUUUAAACCAACAUGUCACCAUCAGAAACCAUAGAAUAAUUAUCUGUAAUAGUAUAAAAUUAAUCUAGAAUUUUGCAAAUUCAUUUUUCAAGGAUUAUGUGCAACUGCUCUUAAUGGAUUGUGGCCCUUACAUUGAACAUGUACUUUAUAGAAGACACAACUCCGAUAUUAAUAAAGUUCUAAGAAGCAUAGAUCUUGUUCAAAAUUCCAUUUCAAACAGGGAAAAUUUAUUGAAAGAAGGAAAGAAUGCACCAGAAGCUGAGAAUGCAUGUCCUUUGCAAGUGAACUAGUAAUGGGGACUAACAGUCCUAAAUAAUACAGUAGCUGUAUGUAUUUUCAGUAGUUAUUUUUUGUCUGUAAGAAUUUUGUGCAUUUUGAAAGCAUAAAAACAUCUAUGUGCAAUUUUUCCCUUACUGUUGAUGCUACUGCUGCUAAAACAAACAAACAAAAAACUACA
Long non-coding RNA from Sceloporus undulatus (fence lizard), 819 nucleotides. RefSeq lists it as uncharacterized. The record is from RefSeq and is a predicted model, not a curated record. Lineage: Eukaryota; Metazoa; Chordata; Lepidosauria; Squamata; Phrynosomatidae. The transcript has 3 exons.